AACGAACGCUGGCGGCAUGCCUAACACAUGCAAGUCGAACGAGACCUUCGGGUCUAGUGGCGCACGGGUGCGUACCGCGUGGGAACCUGCCCUUAGGUUCGGAAUAACUUCCCGCAAGGGGUUCUAAUACCGGAUAAUGUCUUCGGACCAAAGCUUUAUCGCCUUUGGAUGGGCCCGCGUUGGAUUAGCUAGUUGUUAGGGUAAAAGCCUACCAAGGCGACGAUCCAUAGCUGGUCUGAGAGGAUGAUCAGCCACACUGGGACUGAGACACGGCCCAGACUGCUACGGGAGGCAGCAGUGGGGAAUAUUGGACAAUGGGCGGAAGCCUGAUCCAGCAAUGCCGCGUGAGUGAUGAAGGCCUUAGGGUUGUAAAGCUCUUUUACCCGGGAUGAUAAUGACAGUACCGGGAGAAUAAGCUCCGGCUAACUCCGUG
This 433-nucleotide ribosomal RNA is filed under the name uncultured bacterium. RNAcentral describes it as "partial 16S ribosomal RNA". It matches the Rfam family "Bacterial small subunit ribosomal RNA", at positions 29 to 507 of the family's 1533-position model. The record is from RNAcentral.